CCUUGGUCAACGGAAGCCAUUUUUCCGUUGAUCGCAUUUUCUGGACGUUGCCAAACACCGAAAAUUCGAAAAAUAUUUUUUGGAAGUCAUUUUCCGGGUUACCAAACACACCCUUAGUUUUAGGGGGAGGGCGCAAUUCAAUUGCAAAUGGACAAGUGGUCAACCAGGUAGAUUCAAAAUGGCUCGGUUCCCCAUUUGAGGGGGGAGUGUUGAGAGUCUCACAUUGAAAAAUAAGAGAGAAACAUAUGAGUUUAUAAGGCCAUGGGUUAGAGUACCUUAUUGAUUGGAUUCAAUCUUUUAGUGUGGUUUGGCCCAUGUGCAUUGUAGCCCAGUUAAGUGACCUUGGCUCUACUGUGAGAUAUAUAUUUCAUGGUGUGAUUACCCCGUUGCUCUAAUCACCAUAUAAGAGAACAAAGGAAAGGGUAAGACUAAAGCACUUUAGCAUUUGAAUAAAAAGUUGUCACUUUAAUGAAAAUAAUAAUUGUAGCAAUGGAUGUUAACUAGGUAGCACAAAAACGAGAAAUGAGGACACAGAACACAAUGAAAUGCAUGAUGAGGAACACAAGAGAAGCGUAUAAAUAUUAAAAAAUAUAAGUGUGUAUUUGCAAAUAACUUUUUCUUUAAAUAUGCAUGAAUAUUUAAUUGUUUACUAGUUUCUUUUUAGGAAAUGCAUUAUUUUUAAAUUAGGAAAAUGAUCCUAAUUAAAGUAAUAUGCAACCAUAAAAGGGCAUAGAUGGUGUUAGUAGAUUUCUAGGGGUUAAAAAUGACAGGAAAUGAGAACAUAUAGUAUGUAUAAUUGAAGUUGACUCAAAACAAGACCAAAUAAGUGUUUCAAUAAUUAAAGGAUAUUUGGGAAACCUCGAGGUGAAAAACAUAGUAAACUGAAAAGAAUGUAAUUCUAGCUGAGACAUUAUACCUAGUUUGAAGAUGAUAAUAACCCAUAAAUAAACAAACGCCUAAUGGAUGGCUUUCACAUAGAUCUUGCUUGAAGUUACAUUGCCCACAAAACAAGUAUAACCUAAAUCAAAGGAGAAAACAUGUAGAGGUUUCAGGUUUGUGCAGUGCCUGAAUUGCUUUGAGCCUUGGGUUUUACUAGCUCAUCAAGAUUUACCAAAGUUGAAAAAUUAAGAUCAUGUAAGGAAUUUAAUAUUUCCUACAAUGGUUAUUGGUUAGGGAUAGUUUUGAUUUUUUUUCUUUUUUCCUACUAAUAUCUUUAAUAAUUAGUAUCCAAAUACUAAGAUUAGUUUGUAUCCUAGUUUAGUUGCGAUUUCUUUUCAUAGCUUUAUUCUUGUUUCUACUUGAAUUAGGAAUAUGCAUGCUAUGCCUUUAGAUGCCUAUAAAGCCAUUGGAAAUAAGGCAUAUGCACAUACACAAAAUUGUCAUGUGCUAGCAAAAUUUUUUCUCUAUUUUUUGCAUGUUACUUGGAAGAAUUAGGCUCUAGUUCUUCUGUUUUUUUUUCCCUUUCUUUCUUUUUGCCCCUAAAGGAUCUGACUUUUCACAUUCCUGUCCUCAUAAUAAGAAGGAAUGUGGACACUUAUUGAUAACCAACAACCAAUUGAGCUUUAAGUCAGGGAAUUUGUCAAUCUGGUCCGUCCUUAACUAUAAGCAUCAGUCAAUAACCAACAAUCAAUUUUUUAUGGCAAAGGUAGUACAAGUAACCUAUUCGAAUUUGAGCCAAUUUGACAAGUAGGGGAUAUCAGAAAAAGUUAGAUAGCUAGAGGUAAUAAAAUCUAAAAGAUUGUGGAUAAGGUGACACGAGAUAAAUCAAUAGGAGUUUGGUUUAGUGCUUUCUACAAUUUGAAUACUAUGGCAUAAGGUUGCAGACAACAGAAGAAGUGAUACGAAAAAGGAUGCAUAAGAGGAUGUAGGAGGGAGGGAAUCAAUGAAUGGAUGGAGUGUUAGUGGAUUUCAAUACUUUAGUGGUUUUUUGUCCAAACUAACUCUACCAUCCUACUUGGAAUCACAUCCAACUCGAUGCCAAGAGCACUGCCACACUCAUCCUCAUGCAUCGCUCAUUUGAAAGUGGGCUUUUAAGUGGUAGAACCAGGUGAUGCUCUGUCUUCAUAGAGGUUUCAUAGUAUUGAAACAUAUUUCAGUGAAGUUGGACUUGUCUCCUUGAGGCAAGUCAUCUUGUGAUGUUUGGUCCUGCAUUGCUGCAGACCAGAGACCAGAAGUCAAUAUCAUUUUUUUUCUCCUUGUUGCCACAUCUCCAUCCACUCCAACCUUUACCUCCUUCCAUCCUAUCAUUAUGGUUAAGUCAACAUGAUGUGAUAAUUGCACUUCUUGGGUAGCUUCCACAAAA
Ipomoea triloba (trilobed morning glory) is the source of this 2302-nucleotide long non-coding RNA. RefSeq lists it as uncharacterized. Lineage: Eukaryota; Viridiplantae; Streptophyta; Magnoliopsida; Solanales; Convolvulaceae. The transcript is spliced from 2 exons. The record is from RefSeq and is a predicted model, not a curated record.